UGGGGAAUAAACACAUGUUGGAAGCCUCGAUAUGAUUUUCUAAGCAGAAACCUGCAGCCUUUAGUAACUGGCAAAGUGUAGCGUCACCUAUCUGGAUAAAAGGGAAAUAAACUUUAAUGGCAACUUUGUGUACCGAAGAGUCCCUAGCUCCUUUUCUCUCCUUCUUUUGACUUUGUGCCACUUGAUCGUACAUGGUAUUCCCCCACGCGAGGCUUCCCCACUUUUCAGUCACUGCCGCCGCAUCCUGCCUCAUCGAAUUUCAUUUCUGGUUGUUUUCUAAACUGUAGCCAUUUGCUCUUAUUUCAGUGGCUGUCGGGGGCCCAGCCAGGAUGGGAGGGGGGGCGGUGUUGAGAUAAGCAGGAGAUACUUGGGAAGAAUUCUUACACUUCAAAGAAGAAAAGAGGCUGCUGCUGGAUUUUGGUUGGUCCUCAUCUGGUCUGCUCAAUCUAUAGGAAUUGAAGGGCCUCCUCUUAAAGGAAAAUUUAAAGCAAAAAGAAGAAAAGAGAAAGAAAUCCGUCCAGAGUGGAUGUUAGCCUGAUCAUACCACCUAUUUGGAGGAAAGAAAUAGUACCUACCCUUGCCUUUUCGAUGACAAAAUAAACAAUGAGAUCCUGCUGUAUAGCGCCGGGAA
This 631-nucleotide long non-coding RNA is filed under the name Sus scrofa (pig). RNAcentral describes it as "lncRNA (ENSSSCG00015067640.1)". The record is from RNAcentral. Lineage: Eukaryota; Metazoa; Chordata; Mammalia; Artiodactyla; Suidae.